UGGGGAAUAUUGGACAAUGGGCGCAAGCCUGAUCCAGCAAUGCCGCGUGUGUGAAGAAGGCCUGCGGGUUGUAAAGCACUUUCAGUGGGGAGGAGAAGCUCUUGGCUAAUAUCCAAGGGAAGAGACGUUACCCACAGAAGAAGCACCGGCUAACUCUGUGCCAGCAGCCGCGGUAAUACAGAGGGUGCAAGCGUUAAUCGGAAUUACUGGGCGUAAAGGGUGCGUAGGUGGUUUAAUAAGUUGGGUGUGAAAGUCCUGGGCUCAACCUGGGGACUGCGCUCAAUACUGUUAAGCUAGAGUACUGUAGAGGAAGGUGGAAUUUCCAGUGUAGCGGUGAAAUGCGUAGAUAUUGGAAGGAACAUCAGUGGCGAAGGCGACUUUCUGGACAGAUACUGACACUGAGGCACGAAAGCGUGGGGAGCAAACAGGAUUAGAUACCCCCGUAGUCC
RNAcentral lists this ribosomal RNA (449 nucleotides) under uncultured bacterium. Its description in RNAcentral is "bacterial SSU rRNA". It matches the Rfam family "Bacterial small subunit ribosomal RNA", at positions 355 to 796 of the family's 1533-position model. The record is from RNAcentral.